CCUGAUCCCAUUCCGAACUCAGAAGUGAAACACAGUAUCGCCGAUGGUAGUUUGGGGUCUCCCCAUGCGAGAGUAGGUCAUUUCCAGGC
Molecule: ribosomal RNA, 89 nt
Filed under: Shewanella sp. SR44-4
Lineage: Bacteria; Pseudomonadati; Pseudomonadota; Gammaproteobacteria; Alteromonadales; Shewanellaceae
Source: RNAcentral